This 113-nucleotide ribosomal RNA is filed under the name uncultured bacterium. RNAcentral describes it as "partial 16S ribosomal RNA". It matches the Rfam family "Bacterial small subunit ribosomal RNA", at positions 1355 to 1482 of the family's 1533-position model. The record is from RNAcentral.
UACCGCGGUGAAUACGUUCUCAAGUCUUGUACUCACCGCCCGUCAACUCAAGGAAGCCGGGAAUACCCGAAGUUCCCCUCUGGGGGACCACGGUAAGCUCGGUGACAGGGAGU